RNAcentral lists this ribosomal RNA (460 nucleotides) under uncultured bacterium. RNAcentral describes it as "partial 16S ribosomal RNA". It matches the Rfam family "Bacterial small subunit ribosomal RNA", at positions 338 to 795 of the family's 1533-position model. The record is from RNAcentral.
CCUACGGGGGGCAGCAGUGAGGAAUAUUGGUCAAUGGCCGGAAGGCUGAACCAGCCAUGCCGCGUGAAGGUCAGUGCCCUAUGGGCGUUAAACUUCUUUUGUGCGGGAGCAAUAAUGGUCACGUGUGGCCAGACGAGAGUACCGUACGAAUAAGCAUCGGCUAACUCCGUGCCAGCAGCCGCGGUAAUACGGGGGAUGCAAGCGUUAUCCGGAUUUAUUGGGUUUAAAGGGUGCGUAGGCUGUGAGGUAAGUCAGCGGUGAAAUGCCCCCGCUCAACGGGGUGAAGUGCCAUUGAUACUGCCUUGCUGGAAUGCGGAUGCCGUGGGAGGAAUGUGUGGUGUAGCGGUGGAAUGCAUAGAUAUCACACAGAACACCGAUUGCGAAGGCAUCUCACGAAUCCGCGAUUGACGCUGAUGUACGAAAGCGUGGGUAUCAAACAGGAUUAGAUACCCGGGUAGUC